GACCGGCCGGCCGCGGCGCUGGACACCUUACUUCCUGCUUCCCCGCCAGACCCAGCUCUGCGGAGGGAUAUCUCUCCCCUCCUCUGUCCCUCUCUCUCCCUUCCCCCGCCCUCCCCCUCUUUUUGCUUCUGCUCCCCCCCACCACCCCGCCUUUCUCCUUUUGCAAGAAAAUAAUUUGACAGUCGAUUUGCUGACAGGGGAGGAAUUUGCAUCCUGGAUUAAAAAAAAAAAAGGCCGAGAGGAGCUUGGGAACGGUUGCUAGGGCUCUGCUCGCCCCCCAUCUCACCCCCCAAGCGGAGACUGGUCUUCUUGUCGGAUUGCCCAUGCACUUGUUGCAGAAACAGCCAAGCUGCAUGGCAUUCCAUUUUGUGGAUGAACCAUAAUUUAUUAAAGCAGUCCCCUGACAAUGGAUGUGGGGGCUGUUUCCAGUCUUCUGUCAUUACAAAGCAGACUGCAGUGAGAAUCCUGUAUACACACCAAUCUGCAUAUGUGGGAGCAUGUCUCAGAAUCAGUUCUUAGAAGUGGAAUUGCUGGUAGAGCUUGUAGACGUCUGUGAUAUUGGUAGACCUUGCGAGUAUCCUUCCUAGGAGCUGGUAGCAAUUUACACCAGCACCCUCAAUGAAUGAGACAUCCUCGCCAACACAGUGAGUUAUCAAACUUUUUGAUCUUUGCCAAUCUGAUAGAUGAAAAUUGGUAUCUCAGUUAGUUUUAAUUUGCAUUUCUUUUAUGAAUGCGGUUGAGCAUUUUUUCACAAGUUUAAGAU
RNAcentral lists this long non-coding RNA (763 nucleotides) under Equus asinus (donkey). Its description in RNAcentral is "lncRNA (ENSEASG00005037655.1)". The record is from RNAcentral. Lineage: Eukaryota; Metazoa; Chordata; Mammalia; Perissodactyla; Equidae.